This is a long non-coding RNA of Mauremys reevesii (Reeves's turtle), 794 nucleotides long. RefSeq lists it as uncharacterized. The record is from RefSeq and is a predicted model, not a curated record. The transcript has 5 exons. NCBI's taxonomy places the organism in Eukaryota, Metazoa, Chordata, Testudines, Geoemydidae.
GCUCCUUCUACCCUAGGAUCUCAGAACACUUUACAAACAUCGGUGAACACCAAACACCAAAAAAAGAGCCACUGUACUCACCAGCCAAGACCUCCAGCUUGUUAGCAGAGUCCUCUGCCCUUCAAAUGAUCUUGCAGUAGGUGUGAUAUAAUCACCACUGCAGACAACAUCUGGGUACUUCAUAGCUUUAGAGAGCAGCCCCAACAGUCCUCAGAGCAGAGGUCAGAUGCAGCCUUUGGCCAAGUAAGAGGAGGAUGGUGACAUCUGUUGCCAAGCAGUGCUAGAAACUAUGGCAUCAACAAGAUGGUGACCCCAAAGGGCUUACUAUAGAGUAUAGACCUUCAUCAUGAGAGAUCACUGACUCCACAGAGACAGAGGUGAUGUCCUAGUAACGUUAAGUAACUCAUGAUAUAUGAUGUGGUCACCCCUUCUGCCAAGUUCGAGCAUGCCUGUUCUUGAUGUUUGCUGAUUCUCUUGGGGGAAUCUAGUUAAAUGACCAGCAAUAAUGAGAUCUUGACUUUCCUGGGGUUCCUGUUGAUAAUGCUCUCUUCAUGGAGGUAGCCAGCAGAGGCUCAGAUGUCCGAAUCCCCGGGCAGAAUCAAAGCACUACAGAGCUUCUCUCUUUCCAAACGCUCCUGGACAUGUACUGCAUCUGUCACGAUGACAGGAGUCCAGGCAACCACAAAGUAAUAAGGAUUUACCAGCAGGUGCAGAGGACUUCAAAAAGUUAGUUUAAAAUUAUUUCUGUGUUGAAUGCCCCCUGCAACAUAGUUUGAAGGGAAGUUAGACCAGAA